GCAUGAUAUUUUUAUUAAAGAAUUUCGGUUAUCGAUGGGGAUGCGUUCCAUUAGUUUGUUGGCGGGUUAACGGCCCACCAAGACUACAAUGGAUAGGGGUUCUGAGAGGAAGGUCCCCCACAUUGGAACUGAGACACGGUCCAAACUCCUACGGGAGGCAGCAGUGAGGAAUAUUGGUCAAUGGGCGAGAGCCUGAACCAGCCAAGUAGCGUGAAGGAUGAAGGCUCUAUGGGUCGUAAACUUCUUUUAUAUGGGAAUAAAGUUUUCCACGUGUGGAAUUUUGUAUGUACCAUAUGAAUAAGGAUCGGCUAACUCCGUGCCAGCAGCCGCGGUAAUACGGAGGAUCCGAGCGUUAUCCGGAUUUAUUGGGUUUAAAGGGAGCGUAGGUGGAUUGUUAAGUCAGUUGUGAAAGUUUGCGGCUCAACCGUAAAAUUGCAGUUGAAACUGGCAGUCUUGAGUACAGUAGAGGUGGGCGGAAUUCGUGGUGUAGCGGUGAAAUGCUUAGAUAUCACGAAGAACUCCGAUUGCGAAGGCAGCUCACUAGACUGUUACUGACACUGAUGCUCGAAAGUGUGGGUAUCAAACAGGAUUAGAUACCCUGGUAGUCCACACAGUAAACGAUGAAUACUCGCUGUUUGCGAUAUACAGUAAGCGGCC
This 657-nucleotide ribosomal RNA is filed under the name uncultured bacterium. Its description in RNAcentral is "bacterial SSU rRNA". It matches the Rfam family "Bacterial small subunit ribosomal RNA", at positions 171 to 848 of the family's 1533-position model. The record is from RNAcentral.